This is a long non-coding RNA of Hemibagrus wyckioides, 9503 nucleotides long. RefSeq lists it as uncharacterized. The record is from RefSeq and is a predicted model, not a curated record. NCBI's taxonomy places the organism in Eukaryota, Metazoa, Chordata, Actinopteri, Siluriformes, Bagridae. The transcript has 5 exons.
UGCAAUGAUGAUGAUGAUAAUGAUAAUAACACAGUAACAAAUGCAGUAAUAACACAGUGAUAAAUACGAUGAUAAUAAUAGCAAAGCACAAAAAGGCAGAAGCGGUGUAGUAAUAAAUGCAACGAUAAUAAAACAGUAAUAAAUGCGAUGAUGAUGAUAAUAAGUGCGCAGUAAUAAAGGCAUGCGUUACCAGCGGGUCGGUAUUGUCCUGCGUCGGCUGUAGCAGAGAGAGAGGAGAUGUGGAAAGGAAAGCCCUGUGUCAGCAGCACGUUGCUGGUUAAUGAUCUAUUAAGUGAUGCGUGCUUUGCUUAGCGUUGCUUAUGGACAGGGCAGGAAAAGUGUUGAUGUUGCUUCUUCUCUUAAUGAGAUUCCACAUCCUACGAAUUUUUAGGAACGGAUAACGGGAAUAAAGUCGGGGCUGCAGCACUUCAGCAUGGAGCACUCGCGGGGUGGACAUGCUGCAGGACACCGUGGCGCUCUGUUACUGCAGCAGCAUCAGCGUACACACUCGGGCCUACACCUACACUGAAACACACACUCACACACACACUCACACACACACACUCUCUUUAUUAGCUCGUUUAUAACACACACAGGACGGGACGCCAGAUUUUGGAUUUUUUUCUGUGAUCUCGGAUAGAGGAGUUUAAAUCCUGGACAUGAAGGAGGUCCAGGAGCUGGUCACCAAUCUUGAAGAAAAGUCUCACAUGCUUUGUGGAGCUCAUCACAGUCUCAGCAAGGGUUUCUUGGGAUGGAAUGACCUCAUGGAGCAUGCAACAAAAAGCAGAAUGGGCUUCAUUCAUGUUGGAAGAAGGUUCAGGCCUCUUUGGACCCAGAAGAGGGAGGACGUCUGUAAUCGUCUGUAAUCAUCUGUAACUGCACCAACUCGACAUCUUUGGCAGCAAAAAAUUGUUCUUGACCUCAACUCCUCCUCCUCCUCCUCCUCUCCUCCUCCUCCUACCAUCCCGGAGGAUUAGCCUUAGCCAUGAACCCGUAGCAGAUUAUUAGGCCCUUUACCCGUCUCGGCUCUGGCGCUGAUGCGAGCUCUGUGAUGGCUCUAAUGGACAACUAAUUGGUCGACUCCUCUGUCCCGGUCGUCCAGCUCCUCUUCGCUCUCUCAGACUCUGUGGCGCUGGACGGCCGGUGUGUGUAUGAGGGGGGCUGGAAUGGAAGUAAUUAGCCAUCCUACACACUCGACAAGAUAAAUGAAGACUCGUUGGGCGUCCGGUUCCAGGACAGUUGAUUGGGCAGGUACGCCGGGAGCAUCUCAGUCCUCUGGAGCGUGUCCAGGGCUGGUAAUUAACUCCACAGUGCUCGCUGUGUGUCUGUGUAAAGCCGUACUCCUCCCACUUAGGAGGUGCCUUUAGCAACAAAUUGGCUUCUAUUGUCAGGCUUGUAGAGUGAUUAUGAAAUAUUGUUUAAUUUGCUGGGCGGUGGAGUCGGAGGGGGGCUGAUUUUGAUGAAUCGAGCGUUUUUAUUUCAUCAUCCGUUUAUUGUCUUGCGCUGCGAGAACCGUCCGGGGUUCGGCGUUCAGGGAGCGCGUGGGACGACCGAGACGAGUGCAGGCCGUGGUUCAAACCAUCCUCACCAAUCACCGCGGAGCGCUUUAAAAUAAACCUCACCAAUCACGGCUCCUGAUUGUCCUCGGAGGCCCCGGCAUGGGACAGCUGCAUUAAUAAUGAGUCAAACACCUGAAAUUUUCGCAUUAUGUGCAACAUAGCAAGAAGUGAAAGAGAGGAAGUGGGACUCUGGGAAAAAGAAAGUAAGAUAGAUGAUGGGGAAAGGAAAGGACAAAUAAAGAAGCCAAUAAAGAACGAAAACAAAACAGUGCUAAAGUAAGAAUAAUACACAGCGUGUGCUACUGUUACUGUAAACUAAUCAAUGAUGGGGUGGUGUGAGGAAGCAGAGUCACUGUUACUACCUCAGAAUAUCCUGAGUUUUAUAGUCCUGUGUUUUAUUCCUCUUUUAAUUUUCCACAAAUUUCCUUUUUACAUCCAUUUAUAGUUACCUUUAAGGUUUUGAGACAUCUGCAAAACGAGUGAGUUCCUGUCAAACAAGCGCAGCUGGUCACGUUACCAGGAAAACGUUAGAAAGUUUUUCUAUGAGCUGUUACAAUAGAAACCAUAACCAAUCAGAACUAGUGUGUUCAUCCGUCUUCACCAAUCAGAAUCCAGCGUUCCACUCGGCAGCACUGUGGUAUGAAGGAACGUAAUAAAAGCGUGUAAAACAUGCACACAGGAAGCUCCGGCGUGUGCGCCGAGACGACUCGAGCCGCUCUAAUUGAUUUAGCGCUUAUCGACAGAGACGCUGAAAAGCCGCCUCUCCGUCCUGCCUCAGAUUGAAUUAAACACCUUUUAUGGGUCGGGAUCAAUAGAGCGAGGAUGAUUGGAGCUGUGGGGAGUAAAUAUAUACAGACAAAGACAGAGCGUUAUGAUAUGUAGACAUGCGAGGUCUGACUUCUGGUCUCCCGCGUGGCCAAAACACAUCCAGUGAGAUGGUGUAAUUCACGCAAAUCAAUGCUUUUAAAGCAUUUAGCCGCGGCAUGUUAUAAACAAAAUACUCUGGGAGAGUAAUAUAGCAGCAGUGUAUCAGUCAGGAGGAGAAGAUGAGCAGAGGUGCACCAGUAAGAGACUUUCUCUUUUCUAUUCUUUUUCUGAUUUUAGACUUCCGUCUGAAAAAGAGGACAGAAACAGCUUUUGUUUUCAGCAGGAAUAGUGCGUAGUGUAAAAAAUUAAAAAAAUUAAAUAAGGAAAAAAAUGAAAUAAGGAACUUUCAUUAAAAAGAGGCAAAAUUUAAUAAAUAAAUAAAUAAAUAAAUAAACAAAACCACAUAAAAAAUUUUUAAAAAAAGAAAAAAGUUGAAGAACAAACAUCCAGUUAAAUUAUCUAAAUCCAAAUAAAUAAAUAAAUAAAUAAAUAUUUUUUAAAAAUAAUAAAUAAAUAAGUAAAAAUCACCCUUCAUGUAUUUUAUCCUUUUAGAGGUCUAUUUAAUUUUGUAGAAUGACCGAGUUCCUGUUGUCACUUACAUUAUAGCAGCUAUAAACAUUCAUUACUUCACCAACCUCUCUCUAUUCUCUCUUAAAAACAAAAACAUGAAAUUGCAGCUUGUCGUGUUACUGAGAAACCGCAAAGGUGUGUAACCUCCUCUGUCCUGAAGAUAUCGGAAAACUUUUCAAAAAACAGAAGGUACAGCUUUCCUUCUGACUGACACUGGAGACUCCUUCCCUACACGAUACACACCACAAACCAGCAGCAUGUGCAGUCCCUCAGUAUGAGCUGUUACUAAAGAAACAAUAGUAUGUGUCCUUGGUGAAAAGUCAGGUUUAAGAGUUAUUCAGGGCUACUCAGGGGUCAUCAGUGGCUCUUUGGCAAGUCUUGGGGUUCAUUACGACAUCAUUCGCCAGCAACUCGCCGCUACACGUCUCAACUUCCAAUCAAUGACACGUGAAUCAGUGCCAACCAAUCGACUGUCCAGGUGAGAUCACCAAGCAGCCAAUAAACCUGGAUCUAUCAAAACGUCCUUUCAUGACAACAGAUACGCAUAUAAUGGUGUCAUUAGGCCGUCUUCUAAAAUAUUAAUCACCGCUAACUCGAUCAGCGUCAUGCGCUAACCAUCUUUAAUGAACUCCCCGAUCUUUGCUGAUUGGUUUACGAGAACGAGUCCAAUCACCGCUCACCGGUCUAACCACAGACCCUCGCAUGACAUCAUCGCCAUGCAAUCGGCAGAUCCCGAGUGGCGCGUUCCGGCGAUAACAUCAACCUACUGCGUGCCUGCUAAUCUCGCUAACUAUUCGUACGAGCGCGGCUGAAAGAGCUCGUUAGAAAGCGAUUAACUGCAUUCAGGAGUAUCAGGUGGAGCUUUGCGGCUGAUUGUGUCAUGGUGUAUUAGCAUUCAAAAUCUAGCUUUCCAUUUAUUUAAUGCAAUAAGCAGAGACGUCCACUUUGGGAUGAAAUGCGUGUCACAUCACUCAGCGGUCAGAUAUUUGAGUUUGGCGUCUGGGCAUGGGGUAAUAUGCAGCAAGAAAAUAAACAAUUCUUUAAAGUCUAAAAAUCCAGUGUGCAGACUUAACAUAGUUUUGUUUUUUCUACCGUUUAAUGUCAGAAACUCUCUUCAAGCUAAUACGUUAGUGAGAAACAAUGACACUGGAGACUCCUUCCUUAAACUGUCACCAUAGCAACACAUGUUAUCACUGAAUAAUAAUUUUUUCUUUUUUUUGUUCAUUAACAGUUUUAGCUCACAUGUAGCAUCCUUCAGAUGAGCUGUUACUAUAGCAACAGCAUGGAAUUAAAACCGAUGUAAAAGUUUAUACCGUAAUUAUUUUCUGUGCUUGAAGGUUUUCAUGCUAAUCAGCGACUCUGCUAGCUAGCAAGAAAUACCAGCACGGUGCUAAGGUAAAGGGUCAAAGUUUGCACUGCAGUCGUCUUGCUUGAUGAGAAACUUGGGUUAAUCAUUUUAUAGUUAAUCUUUUCCUCCGGUACAGCAAACAUCCUCCUGACUUAAGGUUAUUUAUCUGGAUGUAAACAAGGCUCUUAGCCGGCUUUAAUCCUGUCCUGCAUUUUUGUUUUUUUGUUUUUUUUUUAAUUUUAUUUCCUCAGCGUUCCUAAGAGGGAAAGAAAGAAGCAGGAAAUCAGAGACGCUGAGGGACAGAUCACUGGAUUUAUACCCGGAGAUCUGGACAGUGUCCAUGUGUGAGAGCUGAUUUACGGGCAGCGAGGAGAUGAACGAUCUCACGGUGAUAAAAACAACAUGGUUUUAAAGCAGCACAGGGGCGUCAGCGCUUGCACAGAGGGCCUGCUAGCUUACAGGAACAGCACGUAGAUGUUGAUUUAGAGAAACAACUCAAUUUAGAUGAAACCCCUGAAGAUGGAGGUGAUGGAGAUGAUUCUCUCUCAUAAGGUCCUGACUCAGAUAAGCAUUCACCAAAGUGAAAAACUGGUAAAUGUGUUGCAUUAACAGCUAAUUAUUACCGAAGUUAGCGUAAGUAAAGCUGCAAAUCGCAGGUUUGUGUAGGUGGAGUGUUUGAGUCCUCACUGAGAAACACCUCCUAACACUCCAGUGUUGUAUAAAGACUUACACAUCCAAUGCACAAUCAAAAAAAAGGUGGAAUGCUACAAAUGAAAGCGAAAGAAAAAAUUCAUUUUUAGGUCACUCUUUCACAGGAAAAAAAAAAAAAAUGUCCAAUAAGUUCAUGGUGGAGAAUAUCUAAUAUUCAGACGAAAAAUCGGUGUUGAAUGAUGUGAUGUGAUGUGAUGGAGUUGAUGGAUGAGUGGAUGUGAGGAACGUGCUGACAGAUAAAUUUGAUUUAGCCAAAUGAGAAAAGAGAGAGAGAAAGAGAGAGAGGGAGAAUGUUGGUGAGAAAGGAAGAUAAAAAGAAAUGAAGGAGUGCUCUGCAUGCGUAUCAAUAUAAAUCAAUGAUCAAUCAAUAGCACUUUUCAAUUUGCAUGAAUUAAGUUGAACAUCUUUUAUUCUCUCUCUCCACCAGCCGAGAGACGGAUGAGGAACGCUCUUCAUUUCUUCUCCUUCGCCAACCUCUCGGUCUUUCCUCUCCAUCCGUUCGUCUUUCCGUGCUCGGUGUUUAAAAGGUGACAUUGGGCCAUGCGUGACGUGAGAAGCCCACAUUGGACUUGACAGCGAGAAGUGAAAUUGAAUUCAUGCGCACUGCUUUCAGUGAAUCAGAUCUGGCACAGGAGCAGCGUCACACUCAGGCUGGAAUCAAUAGAUUUAGUCUGGGACGUGAACUCUGGCCUCAGAACGCAAGAUAAAUACCAGAACCUGGUUAUGACCUGGUUACGACUGCCUACGCACAGCACAAGAGGGAGAGAGACUCAGGAGAAGACCAUGUGUCCAUGUGGAACAACUGGAACAAGAUCGCUAAGCAGGAGGACAGAAAUGAACAUCGAGGUCUAGGAAUAAAUGUCGUAAGUCGUAGUCCAGAAAAAAAUCAUAGUAGAGAAAUAAAUAUUGUAGUCCAGAAAAAAAAAGUUCAGUUCAAAAAAUGAAGGUCUUACUCCUCAGGGUCUGCAAAACACUUAAGCAUGCAGUAGAACCCUUGAAGGGUGCUAGGUUCUAAAGAGGUUUUCUCAUAACUUUUUCUGAAACACAGCCUCUAUUAUACACUGAAUAAACCCUUAAAGGGAUCUCCCAGGUGAAAAAACCAAAAGAGACCGAAGAUAGAACCUUUGUUCCUCUUAGUAUCAGAGCAGACAGGACCAUUUGGUGUAGUUCUCCUGUUCCUCUUAGUGUAGUACUCAUGUUCUACUCUCUGUAGUUCUCCUGUUUAUCUCAGUAUAGUUCUACUGUUGUAUUCUGUGUAGUUCUCCUGUUCCACUGGGUGCAGUUCUCCUGUUCUACUCAAUGUAUUACUCGUGUUCCUCUUAGUGUAGUACUUGUGUGCUACUCAGCAUAGUUCUCCUGUUCUACUCAGUGUAGUUCUCCUAUUCCUUGGUGUAGUACUUGUGUUCUACUCAGUGUAGUUCUCCUGUUCUACUCAGUUCCCCUGUUCCACAGGGUGUAGUUCUCCUGUUCUACUCAGUUCUCCUGUUCUACUCAGUGUAAUUCUCCUCUUCUACUUGGUGUACUUCUACCAUUUUAUUCAGUAUAGUUCUACAGUUUUAUUUAGUGUAGUUCUCCUGUUCUAGUGUGUAGUACUUGGUGUAGUACUCAUGUGCUACUUGGUAUGGUUCUCCUGUUCUACUCAGUGUAGUUCCCCUGUUCUACUCAGUGUAGUUCUCCUGUUCCUCUCAAUGUAGUUCUCGUGUUCCACUCAAUGGAGUUCUCCUGUUCUCCUCAGUGUAGUUCUCUUGUUCCUCUCAAUAUAGUUCUCAUGUUCCACUCAAUGGAGUUCUCCUGUUCUCCUCAGUGUAGUUCUCUUGUUCCUCUCAAUAUAGUUCUCGUGUUCCACUCAAUGGAGUUCUCCUGUUCUACUCAGUGUAGUACUCCUGUUCAACUUGGUGUGGAUCUACCAUUUUAUUCAGUAUAGUUCUAGCGUUUUAUUCAGUGUAGUUCUCCUGUUCUACUCAGCGUGAACCCUGCAGUCUCCACUUUACGAGGUGGACAGGUCCUGUUCCUCCGCAUGUCCACUGAAUCCAAUCCAAUAAUUCCUCUGAAGUGUACAUAAUGAUUAAAAGUAGCACUUACAAUUUCCUCCCAGCUAAAUGUGAAAGCAUGCGCAAAUGAAAUAUGUUCACAAACCCACACUUGUCAUUUGUGAAUUGAAGGAGUCUAUUGGGAGCCAGUGUGAGCACCAGAGACUGUGUGUGUGUGUGUGUGUGUGUGUGUGUGUGGACAUCAAUUCUGAGGCGGUAAUAUUUGUGAGCGAGUGUGUUUACUCCGAGGCCCAGCUGCACUAAUGUACUGUUAAUCAUGCUGCCUCUGUGAGUGGCAGGGAGUUAAAGUGCACUUCCAGAGCAUCGCUUAUUACCACCUUCCGCUAUAAACAUAAGUACACACACACAGAGUUCAUGUGCGUAUACACUUACACAAUCACACAUAAAUACACAAGCUAACCAUCCACACACACACAGAGCCAGGCAUAAAUCAGCUGUUCUGUGACACCAGAGACAAAUGGCCAAUAAAAGUGCCAAGGGUGUUAACACACAUGUUUGGGGCACAAUCAAAUCAAUUUCCUCUAAGUAGCCAUAAACAUGUUGUCCUUUAAAAGGCCCAAGCCGGGGCUCCAUUAUGCGCCAGGUUCUCCAAUCAGGCCUGCUAGGACAAGUGUUCCUGCUGUGUCUAAAUCUCUCAGCGUCCAUCCGAAACCUUCUGAAAGAAGUAAGACUGAAACUGAGCAUCCCAUUAAUCACAGCUUCCCAAGAAGCUCCAUGACAAAAAGCAAAGGUCUGAGAGCACAGGAGGGCUCAGUGGCUCAGCAGGAGGUCGAGGUCCAGAGAUCGGCUUCUCUUUGACUCCAGGUCCCAGGAUGCCCUGCAGGCCUGCGAAGAAACCCAACAGACAAGGAGCAGCCUUGUGCUCACGUUCUGACGAUUUAUUGUGCUUCCAGGGGACAGAGUUGCUCAGUGAUAUCAGCCCGCAACGCUAAUUCUGCUCAAUGCUCUCUCUAUUAUCAUACAGCGUUUUGGGUUUUUCCACAGGAGGCACAGGGGCAGUAAAUGAAGCCCAUGCCUCCCCUGCUGUGUGAGAUUGUAAUUGUAAUUGACCAGAACAAGUCCUUACAUAUGAACCCUCUGUAAACUGCCCCCCACCCUGUAUUAGCCAAGCAGAGGGAUCUGGUUCCCACUCAUGGGAGACGGCACUUUCAACCAAACCCGGUUAAUAUUCAAAGCCUCAUUAAAAAUGAAUCAGUGGGCCGUUAAAAAAAAAGAAAGAUAUCCAGGCACAUAUGAGAAGACGAAAUCCAGGCAUUUAUUUUUAAUUAUACUUUAUGUUUUAAAUUUGUCCAGAAUGCUCCCCAAGCUCCUGUUGCAGUCAACUAAAGACACAAAAACGGUAAAAUACCUACGUCGAGAGGGGUUGUAAACCCCCAAAUUGGGGCAAUCUCACACUGGAUUGGUCCGGAGAGACCGUGGUUCAUUUCUACUGCUGAAAUAUUCAAGAGCUUCUCAUUGGCCUCAGAGGCACCGAGUAGGAUCAGGCCGAGUGUUCAUGUUCCAACAGACGGAGUUUAAAGUACAGCAGAGAAACUCUAUAGAGAGGCUAUAGAAAACACAAAAACAGAAUAUAGAAUUCGUAGAUCAUGGAUCUUCUCCUUGCCAUGUCUGUCUGACCCUCUUCCCAAACACAAUUUCUAUAAUGUCAUUUAUGAACGAGGCCAAAGAAGCCGCUGUGUGUCAUCGGGACUCAGUGGACAGGCAGGAAAUGAGGACUGACACAUGACAGAUUCUUAGGUUUGUGCAAUCAGACAGCUUGAGCCCCAACACUCGGCUCGACGAAACCUUCUGCUCGACCCUCUACGUACCAAACAACCCACCGAUCAACCGAGAGUUCGGGUGUCAAUCCGGCAGAACGGAUUAUUAACUCUCCCAUGAAGGGGUCAAGUCAUAUUCAUCACCACUAAUCAAGUCAGGCAGAGCACGAAUAACAUCAUCACUCCAGGGACAUUUGCCCUAGAAAGCGCCCUAUGAACCCAUAACCUCAUCGACCGCAAGGCCUCGCUCCAGCCUCGGGCGAAUCACACGGCGAGUCGCUCAGGCAAGCAGGAUCGACGGUUCAGUUCAUCCACAAUGCUGUUAGUGAACACUCAGAUAUGAACACCUGAGAUAUGAAAGCAGCUGAUCUUCAUCACCAGGAGGUAAAAAAGAAGGCAAGGUGGUGGUGAGGGGGAGGACGGUGGACAGAGAGGCCAUGUAAUCCUCGCCUGAAUAGCUGGACUUCCUAAACACAGGCAACAUGGAGCCGGAUCUCUGACCUGUCCACUCAGCACAAAGCUUUCACUCCCCAGAGCUGGAGUUAAUAAUUCAAUACAGCUCAGGAGAGAGAGAGAGAGAGAGAGAGAGAGUGGGGAAAGGGAGAGAGAGAGAGAGGCAGACAGACAGACAGAGAGAGAG